GCUGGGUGUGGCUGGUGCACGCCUGUGAUUCCAGAGGCUCAGGAGGCUGAGGCAGGAGGAUUGCACGUUCAAGGCCAGCCUCAGCAACUUAGCAAGACCCUGUCUCAA
Molecule: small RNA, 108 nt
Filed under: Marmota monax (woodchuck)
Lineage: Eukaryota; Metazoa; Chordata; Mammalia; Rodentia; Sciuridae
Source: RNAcentral